This 258-nucleotide ribosomal RNA is filed under the name uncultured prokaryote. RNAcentral's name for it is "partial 16S ribosomal RNA". It matches the Rfam family "Bacterial small subunit ribosomal RNA", at positions 524 to 782 of the family's 1533-position model. The record is from RNAcentral.
UACGUAGGGGACGAGCGUUGUCCGGAAUUACUGGGCGUAAAGGGCGCGCAGGCGGUAUAUCAAGUCAGCUGUCAAAGACUGGGGCUCAACCCUGGUAUGCGGUUGAAACUGAUAUGCUGGAGUGCUGUAGAGGCAAGUGGAAUUCCCAGUGUAGCGGUGAAAUGCGUAGAUAUUGGGAAGAACACCGGUGGCGAAGGCGACCUGCUGGGCAGCAACUGACGCUGAGGCGCGAAAGCCAGGGGAGCAAACGGGAUUAGA